GAAAGGCAGAAAGGCUGAGGCCCUGAGGCUGGCGAUAGUUUGUUAGGCGGCUCCCUAAACAGACUAAGGCGUCCACUCUGCACCGGAGCUUCUCAAGCGAGGCCCCCGAACAGCAGCCUCAACAUCACCUGGGAUCUCGUCAGAAAUGCAAAUUCUUCCCUCACCCCAAGUCAGCUAAAUGCUAUUUCUGAGCACAAGCAACUCCAUGAACCCUAUCCUGGUUUCUCAAUAACUCCGACCACUAGAAGGAGACACGGCCAAUUUCAGAGCUGGGAUGAGGUAAGAUUCUUUGAGCCUUGGGCAUCAAAUCGUGCCAGAAAUCAAGAAUUUGGUCAAAGACUCAUGAGGGCAGGUCUGAAAAACAAAAGAACUAGUUUCCUAAUUAAUACCAAAAAUGCAUACAUAUAUAUGUAUGUUUUCUAAUUGAUCUGACAUAUAUAUAUCAUAUAUGCCAUCUAUGAUAUAUAUCUAUAUAGAUGAACUAGAAAAUAUACAUAUACACAUAAAUACUGAUAAUUUUCACAGUCUUUCAUUACUUUUCCUUUUUGUAUGAUGGAUUUGUAUGUUGAUAUCUCAAAUGUCACCAGUGGGUUCCCUAUGAAACAAGUGCUUUUGUCUUUUACACUUGCCCUCAUGAGUCUUUGAUCACAUUCUUCUUUCAUAUAUAUUAUAUAUAUAUAAUAUAUAUAUAUAUGCUGAGUAGAUGUGAGCAUUAAAAAAUGAGUAAAAUAAAUUAAAAAUCAUAACACAAGAAUCCGUGAGUCUGUAGCAAUUAGUGCGACAAUGAGAAAAAGAACAACAAUCUUUGUCUACUCUGAUGGUGGUCAUUACAGUAAUUACGUUCACAGUACAUUGCUAAUUGAAGGAAGAAGUUUACCUUUACUCUCACUUAGAGGAAUAGUAGUUUAUUAUUUUUACUUGGUGAGAAAUUAUUUUUAAUUAAAUGUCAGGUAAGAAUAGUUAAACAAGUGGUUAAAAUUGUAAAUGAUUAUGUAAAAACCCCAAGGAAAUAACAAAUAAGAAAUAACAAAGAAGAAAACAGAAAUGCAGUAGAAAAAAGUUCAAAUCACUGAUGUAUACUCAAUCAUAUGUGAAAAUUUGUCAUGGGAAUAUGACUUCUUCUGUUGAGAAUUAUCCCCCAGCAGAUUACUAGUAAUUGUUAAAGAGAAAACAUGAGUUAAAAACAACAGAUCUGACCACUGUUAGCUUAACCAAGUUUUUAAAACUACCUUCACCACUAGUGGGGCAUUCUGUGAUUGUAUGCAGUCUAGUGUCGUGCAAUUUGAAAAACACAGCAUGAUAAAAACAUUUUCUUGCCCCAAAGUUUUAAGCCAAUGUAAUAAAAUACUCACAUCUAACUUUUAAUUUACAGGAACCUUCAACUGGGAAAAACAAGUUAACUGAUAUCAAAUACAACAAUAUAAAAACAAUUGAAUUCUGGUUAAAAAAAGAAGAGCUACAAAAGAUAUUUUGAUUAAGCAAUGAAAAAUUAAAAUAUGGACCGGAUACCAAAUGACAUAAGGGCACUAUAAAUGAUGUUCUUAGAUACAGUAAUGACACUGGAACUGGGAGAAUAUCUUCAUUCCUGUGACAUGCUUUGAGAGGUCUCUAGGGGUCAAUUGUCAUCUUUACAAUUUACCUUGAAGAGGUUCUAGAAACAUUAUAUGUAUUUAUGCAGAUAUACUCCAUAUAACAUUGCAAAAUGUUAGUAAUUUUGAAUAUAAAUGGUAACAUGGGUCUCCAGUAUUAUUUUUAUCAAAUUUUUGGAAAGUGUGAAAAUGGCCAUAUUAAAAAAUUGGGGAACUACUAGUAUUAAAACCACAUUAAUUUCUCAAUGCUUUUAUUAAAUUAUCACAGCACCAUAUCAUUAUACCAAAUUAUAACAAAAUUAUAACAAAAAAUGUAAGUU
This 1909-nucleotide long non-coding RNA is filed under the name Homo sapiens (human). Its description in RNAcentral is "HSALNT0355983". Lineage: Eukaryota; Metazoa; Chordata; Mammalia; Primates; Hominidae. The record is from RNAcentral.